Molecule: ribosomal RNA, 253 nt
Filed under: uncultured bacterium
Lineage: Bacteria
Description: partial 16S ribosomal RNA
Rfam family: Bacterial small subunit ribosomal RNA
Source: RNAcentral
UACGUAGGGGGCAAGCGUUGUCCGGAAUUAUUGGGCGUAAAGAGCGUGUAGGCGGCCAGAUAAGUCCGCUGUGAAAUCUCGAGGCUCAACUUCGAGCUGUCGGUGGAAACUGUCUGGCUAGAGUCCGGAAGAGGAGAAUGGAAUUCCUGGUGUAGCGGUGAAAUGCGUAGAUAUCAAGCGGAACACCAGUGGCGAAGGCAAGUCCCUGGACAACUCCUGACACUGAGGCACGAAAGCUAGGGGAGCAAACAGG